UAAUACGGAGGAUGCAAGCGUUAUCCGGAUUCAUUGGGUUUAAAGGGUGCGCAGGCGGAUUAUUAAGUCAGUGGUGAAAUCCUACAGCUCAACUGUAGAACUGCCAUUGAUACUGAUAAUCUUGAGUGUAUUUGAAGUGGGCGGAAUGUAGCAUGUAGCGGUGAAAUGCAUAGAUAUGCUACAGAACACCAAUUGCGAAGGCAGCUCACUAAACUACAACUGACGCUCAUGCACGAAAGCGUGGGGAUCAAACAGGAUUAGAUACCCUGGUAGUCCACGCUGUAAACGAUGAUUACUCGUUGUUGGCGACACACAGUCAGCGACCAAGCGAAAGUGAUAAGUAAUCCACCUGGGGAGUACGAUCGCAAGGUUG
Molecule: ribosomal RNA, 373 nt
Filed under: uncultured bacterium
Lineage: Bacteria
Description: bacterial SSU rRNA
Rfam family: Bacterial small subunit ribosomal RNA
Source: RNAcentral